AUUAGUUAGUUGAUCCCUUGAGUGGUCUACCUUAGCCAUACCAAAGCUGGAAUCUGUCAUUAACUUGUCCCUGGUCAUAAUUAUGAAGGUUAUA
RNAcentral lists this small RNA (94 nucleotides) under Homo sapiens (human). Its description in RNAcentral is "nc010 non-coding RNA". Lineage: Eukaryota; Metazoa; Chordata; Mammalia; Primates; Hominidae. The record is from RNAcentral.